This is a long non-coding RNA of Bufo bufo (common toad), 148 nucleotides long. RefSeq lists it as uncharacterized. The record is from RefSeq and is a predicted model, not a curated record. NCBI's taxonomy places the organism in Eukaryota, Metazoa, Chordata, Amphibia, Anura, Bufonidae. The transcript has 4 exons.
UGCACUUACCAGAGCCACCGAAGGAAAUGCCAGGUACGAGCGCACGCUUCCUGCGAAACUCUGCACGUCGUACACAUGUGGGAGGGCGCCGGCCGUUAAAGUAGGUAGCCAAGCCCCUCCCACAAAUACAGGCCAAUGAAUCGGCCUU